CGCAUCGGUCCGGAGUUGAUGGGUUAUCGAAUCUAUAAACUGCCUUCGUGCAACACCCCGGUCUCCUUGUGAAACCAAAACCGUCCAAGUUGGACAAACCCUCAACCAUCUCGCAUUCUCAUUAAGAAUGCAAAACCCUUCCCACCGACACCAACUUGACCGAUCU
RNAcentral lists this small RNA (166 nucleotides) under Caenorhabditis remanei. Its description in RNAcentral is "Nematode sRNA ceN72-3_ceN74-2". It matches the Rfam family "Nematode sRNA ceN72-3_ceN74-2". The record is from Rfam by way of RNAcentral. Lineage: Eukaryota; Metazoa; Nematoda; Chromadorea; Rhabditida; Rhabditidae.